CAACUCUCAACAACGGAUAUCUUGGCUCCCGCACCGAUGAAGAACGCAGCGAAAUGCGAUACCUAGUGUGAAUUGCAGAAUCAUGUGAAUCAUCGAGUCUUUGAACGCAAAUUGCGCCCGAGGUUUAGGCCAAGGGCAUGGCUGGCUCAGCGUCGACGC
RNAcentral lists this ribosomal RNA (159 nucleotides) under Botryococcus braunii. RNAcentral's name for it is "5.8S ribosomal RNA". It matches the Rfam family "5.8S ribosomal RNA". Rfam says of the family: 5.8S ribosomal RNA (5.8S rRNA) is a component of the large subunit of the eukaryotic ribosome. It is transcribed by RNA polymerase I as part of the 45S precursor that also contains 18S and 28S rRNA. Lineage: Eukaryota; Viridiplantae; Chlorophyta; Trebouxiophyceae. The record is from RNAcentral.